CUGACUCUGGAGAGAUGUUUGUGUCCAGGUGAUGCUGUCCAGUGAGAGGGGGUUGCAGUCAGAGUGAGGCUGACCGGAGGCCUCUGUCCAGUUGGUGCCCUGUGGAAUGUGAUUACAUACUGGUUGACACCAUCCUGAGGACCAUCACCAGCUGAGUGUCUCAGCCGCCCUGUGUCCCUGGGUUCUGUGCUCUUGUGUGUGGUUUGACACUAUUCCAGUGCGUGGAGACCCUGCCUCCUCACUGAGACCUUGCAAGAAAAAGAACCUGCAGUCACCCCAAGGAAGAGGAGUCUCGGCUGUUCCCUGGAGGCUGACCCAGCCCUGGCCCAAAGGCUGACCCAGACCCAAGGCCCAAAGGCCCACCCAGACCCAAGGCCCAAAGGCCCAGCUCUAAGGUCCAAAGGGGCUCCACCCUGUUCUCUAGCCGGACUCAGUCUCUGGCAAGGACCCCGGCUGCCAGCUGCACUCCCUAGACGCACGUGGCCCACCCCCUCCUUCCAGUACCGGAGCCCUAACUGGCGGCACCCGGGCACCCUUUUGACUCAGAGCCACGCUCCACGAGGGGGACCGAUCUGCUCACUUGCCCCGUCCUGGGGGUACCAGAGUAGCCAGCGCGACGCCUUCCGCACCUCGCCUAGGCUGCCCUUGUGCGGCCGCCCUCAGUCCCCGCCACCUUGCGGGGCCCCAGGCGGCACUGGCAUCUUCUUGUGGUUCUUCCUGGCCGGGGCUCGGUGCGCUCCGCAUUCUGCUGGGCCGUCCGGGGCGUCGUCUGCGGGCCUGGAGGCGGCGACCAGGGCGCUCACGGUGCCGAGCGUCCGCGGCAGG
Molecule: long non-coding RNA, 825 nt
Filed under: Homo sapiens (human)
Lineage: Eukaryota; Metazoa; Chordata; Mammalia; Primates; Hominidae
Description: HSALNT0275224
Source: RNAcentral